UAUAAGUAGAAGAAAGUAGCUGGAGAAGGAAGGGACCAAGAUCAUAGCCCAAGCUUGCAAGACAGCAUUCUUCGUAGGCUUCAAGAAGUACAAGUCCAUUGCCCAGGUGCACCUCCCUCCUGACUUCAUCAAGCAUCUUCAAAUCGAUUGUUUGGACGAAGAUUUAUAGGCGGUAUCGUCGGAUAACUGGUCGAUGUUUAUAAUGACAUCUUACUUUUCGGACAAGGUGGAUAAGAUCGAUGCAGCCGUCCAGACCGAAGGUAUCAUCGGCGCUAAGGAAUACCAUCCCA
Molecule: long non-coding RNA, 290 nt
Filed under: Elaeis guineensis (African oil palm)
Lineage: Eukaryota; Viridiplantae; Streptophyta; Magnoliopsida; Arecales; Arecaceae
Description: long non-coding RNA (EGUI_LNC021795)
Source: RNAcentral